UUCUCAAUGCUUUCCUAUGGACGCUGGCGUCUUCUCACUGUGAAAAUCACAGUGAGAAGCGCGGAAGCGCCACUAGAGGCUGGCUUAACCCUACUGUAAACAUAGCAGUUUCUCUGAAACUGCUAUGUUUACAGCAGAAAGGCUUAAUCCUAGAUGGACCUGGCACCCAGACCACUUAAUUGAGCUGAAGUGGUCUGGGUGCCUAGAGUGGUCCUUGAAGGUAAAAAAUAUAUUG
Molecule: non-coding RNA, 235 nt
Organism: Pelobates cultripes (western spadefoot toad)
Lineage: Eukaryota; Metazoa; Chordata; Amphibia; Anura; Pelobatidae
Source: the annotation of a GenBank genome assembly